AACACAGUGGGCGCUCAAUAAAUGUUUGUUGAAUUGAGAUGCGCUAAAUUCAACGGGUAUUUAUUGAGCACCCACUCUGUG
This 81-nucleotide microRNA precursor is filed under the name Capra hircus (goat). RNAcentral's name for it is "miRNA (ENSCHIG00000001069.1)". It matches the Rfam family "mir-95 microRNA precursor family". Lineage: Eukaryota; Metazoa; Chordata; Mammalia; Artiodactyla; Bovidae. The record is from Rfam by way of RNAcentral.